RNAcentral lists this ribosomal RNA (448 nucleotides) under uncultured prokaryote. RNAcentral's name for it is "bacterial SSU rRNA". It matches the Rfam family "Bacterial small subunit ribosomal RNA", at positions 355 to 796 of the family's 1533-position model. The record is from RNAcentral.
UCGGGAAUCUUGCACAAUGGGCGAAAGCCCGAUGCGGCAACACCGCGUGGGUGACGAAGGUCUUCGGAUCGUAAAGCCCUGUUGUUGGGGAUGAAGGGCGAAGGGUUAAUAGCCCCUAGCCUGACGGUACCCUUCGAGGAAGCCCCGGCUAACUACGUGCCAGCAGCCGCGGUAAUACGUAGGGGGCGAGCGUUGUCCGGAAUUAUUGGGCGUAAAGAGCGUGUAGGCGGUUCGGUAAGUCUGCCGUGAAAACCUGGGGCUCAACCCUGGGCGUGCGGUGGAUACUGCCGGGCUAGAGGAUGGCAGAGGCGAGUGGAAUUCCCGGUGUAGCGGUGAAAUGCGCAGAUAUCGGGAGGAACACCAGUAGCGAAGGCGGCUCGCUGGGCCAUUCCUGACGCUGAGACGCGAAAGCAUGGGGAGCGAACAGGAUUAGAUACCCCCGUAGUCC